GUGGGGAAUAUUGGACAAUGGGCGAAAGCCUGAUCCAGCCAUGCCGCGUGUGUGAAGAAGGUCUUCGGAUUGUAAAGCACUUUAAGUUGGGAGGAAGGGCAGUAAGUUAAUACCUUGCUGUUUUGACGUUACCGACAGAAUAAGCACCGGCUAACUUCGUGCCAGCAGCCGCGGUAAUACGAAGGGUGCAAGCGUUAAUCGGAAUUACUGGGCGUAAAGCGCGCGUAGGUGGUUUUGUAAGUUGGAGGUGAAAUCCCCGGGCUCAACCUGGGAACUGCCUCCAAAACUGCAUGACUAGAGGACGGUAGAGGGUAGUGGAAUUUCCUGUGUAGCGGUGAAAUGCGUAGAUAUAGGAAGGAACACCAGUGGCGAAGGCGACUACCUGGACUGAUACUGACACUGAGGUGCGAAAGCGUGGGGAGCAAACAGGAUUAGAUACCCGAGUAGUCC
Molecule: ribosomal RNA, 450 nt
Filed under: uncultured bacterium
Lineage: Bacteria
Description: partial 16S ribosomal RNA
Rfam family: Bacterial small subunit ribosomal RNA
Source: RNAcentral